Molecule: long non-coding RNA, 632 nt
Filed under: Sorghum bicolor (sorghum)
Lineage: Eukaryota; Viridiplantae; Streptophyta; Magnoliopsida; Poales; Poaceae
Description: long non-coding RNA (SBIC_LNC006577)
Source: RNAcentral
ACAAGGUAAUGUUGCAAAUAAUUAAAAGCUCAUGUUACGAUCUGAUCAGUGCUUAUUUUAGGACACUAAGCUUGUCCUUGGGAAACCAUCAUUUUAUGUCGGCGAAGUGGUUUCCCCUCCAACGCUGACCUAUAUCAAGAUCAACUAAAUGAGAUCUGCAAUAUUUAUUAUAGACAUAUGUAUCGACAACCGCCCUUUUAAAGUUUUUAUAAAUAGAAAGGAUGAGGGGGAUGGAGAUCUCAAAUGUGGCGAUGUUGGAGCGACCAAAAGAUUGGGAAGAUGUUGCAUAUGAGCAUGGAGUAAAUGAAGUGGCUAUGAAAUAAAUUCCAUGCUCAUUAAAGCUUAGAGUGAAAUCCAUGUGGUGUGGUGAAAAUGGUAAGGUGAGUGUGGUAAAAAAAGGAAAAAAAAUACAUGGACGACUUGGUUCGAAACUAGCACAGCUACCGUUCCCCGGCAACGGCACCAGAAAGCUUGUUGGGUAUUUUAAAUGCAAACAGAAAAAUCCGCAAGCGCACGGAUACCGGUGUAGCUUUCACCUGGGAGUAUUCUAGAGUAUCAAUUUUCCACAGGGAACGUGAGUGUACUAAUUAAGAUUAGAGAUCGCCCAAGGAUAACUAUAUAAUUAUUUUUGG